AACGUACGCUGGCGGCACGCCUAACACAUGCAAGUCGAACGAAGUAGCAAUACUUAGUGGCAGACGGGUGAGUAACAUGUAGGUAUCUGCCCUUUGGCCUGGAAUAACACGAGGAAACUUGUGCUAAUACCGGAUAAGUCUUUACGGAGAAAGCUUUAUGCACCAUUGGAUGAGCCUGCACUUGAUUAGUUUGUUGGUGGGGUAAUGGCCUACCAAGACUGUGAUCAAUAGCUGAUUUGAGAGGAUGAUCAGCCACAUUGGGACUGAGACACGGCCCAAACUCCUACGGGAGGCAGCAGUGGGGAAUCUUGCACAAUGGAGGAAACUCUGAUGCAGCGAUGCCGCGUGAGUGAAGAAGGCCCUUGGGUUGUAAAGCUCUUUCGUCGGGGAAGAAAAUGACUGUACCCGAAUAAGAAGGUCCGGCUAACUUCGUGCCAGCAGCCGCGGUAAUACGAAGGGACCUAGCGUAGUUCGGAAUUACUGGGCUUAAAGAGUUCGUAGGUGGUUGAAAAAGUUAGUGGUGAAAUCCCAGAGCUUAACUCUGGAACUGCCAUUAAAACUUUUCAGCUAGAGUAUGAUAGAGGAAAGCAGAAUUUCUAGUGUAGAGGUGAAAUUCGUAGAUAUUAGAAAGAAUACCAAUUGCGAAGGCAGCUUUCUGGAUCAUUACUGACACUGAGGAACGAAAGCAUGGGUAGCGAAGAGGAUUAGAUACCCUCGUAGUCCAUGCCGUAAACGAUGUGUGUUGGACGUUGGAAAUUUAUUUUCAGUGUCGCAGGGAAACCGAUAAACACACCGCCUGGGGAGUACGACCGCAAGGUUAAAACUCAAAUGAAUUGACGGGGACCCGCACAAGUAGUGGAGCAUGUGGUUUAAUUCGAAGAUACGCGCAGAACCUUACCAACACUUGACAUGUUCGUCGCGACUCUAAGAGAUUAGAGUUUUCGGUUCGGCCGGACGAAACACAGGUGCUGCAUGGCUGUCGUCAGCUCGUGUCGUGAGAUGUUGGGUUAAGUCCCGCAACGAGCGCAACCCUCACUUUUAGUUGCCAUCAUUAAGUUGGGCACUCUGAAAGAACUGCCAGUGAUAAGCUGGAGGAAGGUGGGGAUGACGUCAAGUCCUCAUGGCCCUUACGUGUUGGGCUACACACGUGCUACAAUGGUAUCUACAACAGGAAGCAAGACUGCGAAGUUAAGCAAAUCCCUAAAAGAUACCUCAGUUCGGAUUGCACUCUGCAACUCGAGUGCAUGAAGCUGGAAUUACUAGUAAUCGUGGAUCAGCGUGCCACGGUGAAUGCGUUCCCGGGUCU
RNAcentral lists this ribosomal RNA (1306 nucleotides) under uncultured bacterium. Its description in RNAcentral is "bacterial SSU rRNA". It matches the Rfam family "Bacterial small subunit ribosomal RNA", at positions 28 to 1381 of the family's 1533-position model. The record is from RNAcentral.